Molecule: small nucleolar RNA, 106 nt
Organism: Lupinus angustifolius (narrow-leaved blue lupine)
Lineage: Eukaryota; Viridiplantae; Streptophyta; Magnoliopsida; Fabales; Fabaceae
Rfam family: Plant small nucleolar RNA R71
About the family: R71 is a member of the C/D box family of snoRNAs containing the C (UGAUGA) and D (CUGA) box motifs. Multiple nearly identical copies of this snoRNA have been identified in Arabidopsis, and it is thought to function as a 2'-O-ribose methylation guide for 18S ribosomal RNA.
Source: Rfam
AACUCAUGAUUGAGACAUUUCCUCAGCAACACCUAGAAACGCUCUCAUGCCUCAUAAAAAGCCUCCUCAGCACCUUGUCUGAAUGUAGAGAUUUAAAACUUGGCAU